GGAUAGCUCAGUUGGUUAGAGUUUGGUGCUGGAAAUGUCAAGGUUGCAGGUUCAAUCCCCGUAAGGGACA
Molecule: non-coding RNA, 70 nt
Organism: Podarcis lilfordi (Lilford's wall lizard)
Lineage: Eukaryota; Metazoa; Chordata; Lepidosauria; Squamata; Lacertidae
Source: the annotation of a GenBank genome assembly